This 399-nucleotide ribosomal RNA is filed under the name uncultured eukaryote. RNAcentral's name for it is "bacterial SSU rRNA". It matches the Rfam family "Eukaryotic small subunit ribosomal RNA", at positions 592 to 1000 of the family's 1831-position model. The record is from RNAcentral.
CAAUAGCGUAUAUUAAAGUUGUUGCAGUUAAAAAAGCUCGUAGUUUGAUUUCUGGACGGGCGCCAACACCCGCUUGUUAGUGUGGAGGCGGCACCCGCCCAUCCUUCUGUUAACGCCGCCGGCAUUUGUUUGCUGGUGGCGGGCUCAGAUAUUUUACCUUGAGAAAAUUAGAGUGUUUCAGGCAGGCUUGCGCCUAGAUACAUUAGCAUGGAAUAAUAAGAUAGGACUUUGGAACUAUUUUGUUGGUUUGCGUUACAAAGUAAUGAUUAAUAGGGACAGUUGGGGGUAUUCGUAUUUCGUUGUCAGAGGUGAAAUUCUUGGAUUUCCGAAAAGACGAACUACUGCGAAAGCAUUUACCAAGGAUGUUUUCAUUAAUCAAGAACGAAAGUUAGGGGAUCG